ACGGCGUGGGCACCGGUGGUCCUCGGCUGCUUCUUGUCCUACAGUGACUGCGAAUUCACUUACAUACAACUAUGCUCUCCACACAUGCUGAAACUGGGGAUCUAAACAUAAAACACGGUCCCUGCUCCCCUGGGGGAGCACACAGUCAGACUGGGAAACGCAGAGAUAAUCAUCAGAGGAUGGGUACGCACCACAGCAGAGAUAGUAAGAGGGGCUGCAAAGCAGCCAGAAGAUGUGUGCGGCCCAGCAUGAGGUCACCGGACUUGACCUCAUUUCCUUUUUAAUGAGAAGGUGAGGCUGAAGCCGUAGGCCAAGCAGGAGCCUGCUGCCACAACCCAGGUGAGAGGCGGGGGUGCUGGACCAGAUGGGGGCAGAGGUGGGCGUGGUAAGAAGUGCUCAGAGCCUGGCUCAAUUCUGAAGUCACAGUCACCAUCAGGUUAGCUAACCUGAGUACAGAACCCUUGAGAGACGGGGACUCUCUCACCGUGAAACCAGGUUCUUCCGGAGCGUGAGACCGAACCCCAAGGCAACGACCAUCCGCUCUGACAUCACAGGAGCCGGCCAGCUGCCUCCCUCCUGACUCACGACUUCAUCUUCCCCGAGGUCAAGGAGAAGCAAGUGGCACCCUCACCAGCCUCCACCACGGCCCUUACACCUGCCGUCUGGUUUGGGUGGGAACGGGGAGCAGCCUCGGGCUUCAAAUCCCUGUCGUUGGCGGUGGGAACCUCUCAGAGCCUCAGUUUCCUCGUCUACAGGAUAUUCCGACCAAUAAGCAGCCUAUAAAGUUGAUAGUGUGUGUCCCAAAUGGAAAGGCCCCAGAGAGGGCCCUGCCAGGCCUGGGCUGGGUUCGACAUCCACCCCGCUGAUCCUUGGAACCAGGGAACGGGUGCGCCCCCUGCCCCGGGGACUCCAGGGACAGAAUGCCGCUAUUGAUAACCCCAUUAGAACCACUGGAUUGGGGGAAGAAUGGACCCCAACGGAACAGCGUCAGCAGACUGGUGAUAGUAGGAAAAAGAGCCCAUAUUAGUGAAGGAUGCAAAUAAGCAUAAAAAGGGAAAAUUGUGCAGUGAGGUAACGAGGACCCAAAGGAGAGAGCAGCAGAGUCUCUGAGGGUCUGUGGGAGGAAACAAUGAAACACUCACCUAAUUACCACCCAUCAGAGCAUCUGCCUCCCAGCGUUCACAGUUUAAUUUGAAAAUGACGAGAGCUCUGGUCCGUUGCUAAUUCGAUUCCCAAGAAGAUUACAAAGCUUCAAAAUCAGAAACAUCUGGACAGCAAGCUUCUGCGGUCCGUUUCCUACAGGACAAGUCAUAAAGGCCCGGCCAAAGUCUCAACUGAACUCUUCGUAUUUGAGUUAAAGAAGUUUUCCAUUUCUUCGUUUUAAAAUACUCUGGCAAAUACUUUGUGAAUUGUCUGCAUUUUGACUUGAAUUAGUGUUCCCAACUGCCAGUUGCUCUGAUUCUGCAAUUAAAUGCAUCCAUCCAACACUUUCAUGUUUCUGUCAUCUCUAGACCAGUUAGAUACGCAGGGAAGAGCAAUACAAACACAUUUUUAUCUAGUCGCUUGUCUCCUAAUCCCUUCCCAACAUGGAUUUUAAGGCUUUUGCAGAGAAAUAGGAAACACAUUGUACCAACUUUCUAUAAAAGCACAAAAGUCCCCAAAGACUUAAGGAUUGCAAUCAACUUUGGCACCCUAUUUAGUGCCAUGGGGCUAGCGGUUGAUGACUUUAUACUUUGGGGUGGAAAUAGGAGUUUAUUUUCAAAAUAGAGCCCCUCAUUACGCCAGUUGAACAGACUGCUGAGCAUGGACACUUGCUCUGAGGACAGAGGUCUAGCAACAAAUUCCGAAUCUCUCGUUCAUUCUGACCGCGGUGUCCAUCACAGUGUCGGGCCAUCUCUAUGCGGGGAUCCUGGGGCACCUCCAGCUCAGCAUGUCUGAACACCUACGGACUCAGGGGCGGGGGAGGAGGGGCUGCCUUCUUCCUCAGCUAAGGCAGGUCGGGGAGAGCCGGGGCUGUCUGUCUGUUUCCCAGGGCAGAGCUCUGACACAGCACCACCACCUCUGGACGCUGACCCCGCAUCACUCCACCACCAGGUGCUCUCAGCUCCACCCUCCUCGGUCUCCCCUUUAGCUGAAAACCUCCUAUUUCUACCUGGACUGCAACAUCUUACUCACGGCUGGGCACCCGGGUCUCAAUCCUGUGAGCCACACGGCCUUAAGGCUCGCUCACCUGAACUAAACCUCAGUCGGGCUUCUUCCCGACUCCAGCCCGGACCUUCCUGGCUUAGAGCAUUUACUUUAGGAAACUUGUCAUUGCACGUUCUUUCUCUGCCCCUUUGAGAUGCAAAUCUUUUGAAAAGCCUCUUGCCAGUUGUACAACUCAGGAAAUGUAUUUCUCAAGGACCUGGAGCCAUCCCUUUGGCACAUCAUCCUCAAGGAGUGGAGCAUCCACAUCUCCCAGUCUCUGCGGGAAGGUAGGAGCCUCAAUGUGGGGGCACCUUCCUCCAAGUCAGAAAACUACCUCCCAUAAUAAAGACACAAAAAAGUUUACCUUUCCUUUGGGGAAGGCCAAGGGGUAAAUAGGCGUGGCCUAUGACCCCCAUCCCUCCCACCGUUGAUUCAGCAGAGCUGAGCUCAGACUGCAUUCGGGCCUCCCUCCUCUGUUGCAGUAGCCUUGGAUAAAGUUUUCCUCGCCUGUUGAAAUUCGGCGCAAUUUUUGCUUUGACACUGAAUGAACUCAUGGAUCACCUGGGGAGCUGUAGACAUCGGGCGGGAUGCCUCAGCCACACCUGGGAACAUUCGACGAGACUCCCUGAGGUUGGGACUCAGACACCCUGACUUUCAAGGCUCCCCUCUGACCGCAUGGGGCAGUGAAGGUUGAGGAGCACAGACCUGAUCCCAGUGCUCUCCAGUCCUUCCCUUCAGGCCUUCCAGCUGCAGACUGUGUGAGUAAGGUGGGGGUUGGGGGAGGGCAGCUGCCCAAGAUCCAUUCUCAAGAUAGGAGAACUAGGCACGUCUACCUGAGGCAUCUUUUUACAAAUUGUGACAUGUGCCUUCCUAUGGCGUUGUGUUUCCAUUCUGCUGAGAUACUGGAUACAAGGUAGCUAUGCAUCCCUUAAAUCCUGUUAAAAAAAAAGGCCGAUAACUCCAGCCAUGCCUGGAGUUCUGCCCUCCUGCAGACUGGGAACCUUUCUGGCUGCUUCUUUGUUGCACAUUCCUACUUGGACUCGAGUGCCUUUCGAAAGCUCCUCGGCACCAAGACAGCCCUGGUUGGCUGGACAGAUGUGCUGUGAGCACGCCUGACACAGAAGUGUUCCUUCAACACAGCACAUAGUGUCCACGUGUGGGGGAGAAUGUGAGCCAGCACAUGAGCACCCCUCCUUGUGUGUGUGGCACUCGAUGGCAUGGUGGCAUGUGAACUGAGGCUCCGGGUGAAGGCGCUGAGACACCGCCUAGCACUCCCCCACAGUUCCCUCAGGAGGAGCCGUGGGAUGCUUCCUCCGACGGGCUGGAUGAGGGGACCUCGCCUCCUCUCCCAGCAAGAACACUUCCUUUGUAUAAAAGCAUGUUGGGCCAGAGAGACCAGACUCUCCAGGCACAAGUGGCCCAGGGACUAGGGAGGCAGAACCUAAGAGGUUGUCAGUGCCUGCAAGUCAGGAAACUAAAGAAAAUGUGUGAUGUGGCGAAUGCGGUAUGGAAUCCAAGAGAGGCUGAUACACGUGGACAUUACCAAAAGAAACCUCAACAAAACUGGAGUCAGGAAGGCCUGCAGGGGAAGCUCUCCCACUGCAUCAUACAUCCUCAAUUGCUCCAAACAGGAAGAGGCAGGACCUAGCACCUCCCACAGGAAGUGCAACUACAGGAACUGUACUACUGAAGGAGGAAUUCUCUCCCCACCCAGCAACAGCCCAGCCAAUGAGAAGCCGUUGCUGCCCUGAUCUCUUACUCUCCCCCAAUGGACUUUCCUUUAGAACAGCCCCUACCGCUCCUCCUUUUCUCUAUAAAAACAAGCCCCUUCCUUUUGUCUCUCUGGAUUUUCUUAUGGUUUGCCAUAGGAUGCACAUCCCAAAUUGCCAUUCUUUUGGCUCUUCCCAAAUAAACUCCUUUUGCAAGUAAAACAACUGACCAAUUUACUUUUUAAGUUGACAACAACAGUCCCAAGCAGAAGUCAAGGCCCAUCUGAAGCGACAUGGCGUAAGUUUGUAGCAGGAACAUCAGUAUGGUUUGUGACCAUCUCCGGAAAUGUUGAACCCUUGAUGCAGACGUGAAAAGGGGUGAUUGGGGGGGAUCUAGGGAUAAGGCUGUGGGAGAUGAAAGGAGUAGAGGCUCUAAAACAGAGGCGAG
Equus caballus (horse) is the source of this 4344-nucleotide long non-coding RNA. NCBI's taxonomy places the organism in Eukaryota, Metazoa, Chordata, Mammalia, Perissodactyla, Equidae. The record is from Ensembl.